UGGGCUAAAAAUUCAAUCUAACCAUCCAAUCGAUGGACCAAGGGUGUUUAUACUCCGUAUCAUCGAAUGGAACGUGUAAGAAUAAUUUAUUCAAGAAUUGAAGAAAUAUAUCAAAAGAUACGCCUUCAUAUCGAAACUUACUAAUAUUAUUUUAUUUUUUUAUUAUAGGAUACUGGAACAUCUAGCUCUCAUCCACUAGCUGCUGGAGAGGAGCAGGCGGAGGAGGAGGUG
Molecule: long non-coding RNA, 231 nt
Filed under: Elaeis guineensis (African oil palm)
Lineage: Eukaryota; Viridiplantae; Streptophyta; Magnoliopsida; Arecales; Arecaceae
Description: long non-coding RNA (EGUI_LNC003014)
Source: RNAcentral